UAUCAGAGAAUAAUUUCUCUCUCCUUAAUCACCUUUCUGCCAUGGAUGAGGCUAGGUGGUUACAGAAAC
Molecule: non-coding RNA, 69 nt
Organism: Vicugna pacos (alpaca)
Lineage: Eukaryota; Metazoa; Chordata; Mammalia; Artiodactyla; Camelidae
Source: Rfam